GACGAACGCUGGCGGCGUGCUUAACACAUGCAAGUCGAGCGGUAAGGCCCUUUCGGGGGUACACGAGCGGCGAACGGGUGAGUAACACGUGGGUGACCUGCCCUCAGCUCUGGGAUAAGCCCGGGAAACUGGGUCUAAUACUGGAUAUUACUCUGCGGUGCAUGCCGUGGGGUGGAAAGCCUUGUGCGGCUGGGGAUGGGCCCGCGGCCUAUCAGCUUGUUGGUGGGGUGAUGGCCACCAAGGCGACGACGGGUAGCCGGCCUGAGAGGGCGACCGGCCACACUGGGGACUGAGACACGGCCCAGACUCCUACGGGAGGCAGCAGUGGGGAAUCUUGCGCAAUGGGCGAAAGCCUGACGCAGCGACGCCGCGUGAGGGAUGACGGCCU
Molecule: ribosomal RNA, 388 nt
Filed under: uncultured bacterium
Lineage: Bacteria
Description: bacterial SSU rRNA
Rfam family: Bacterial small subunit ribosomal RNA
Source: RNAcentral